AUGGCUUACUAUUUAGAUCAUCAGGCUUAUGCGAGCAACACUACAAACAGCAUGGAAAGUAUUCAAGAACUGAUAGGUAAGAUUUCCCAUCGAUUAGAUGAUUUAGCUCGGCAGCGAGAAGUAGUUUUUAAGGAUAGGCCUAGUUCUUACGAUCCUUAUUCCAGAGGCCAUCCUUAUGUUGCUCCUACUUGCCAUAUUUGUGGGUUUCAGGGCCAUUUGCCCGCUGAAUGUCAGCGUGGCUACUCUCACACUCCAGGUUGUUUUGGCAUGAGCUUCGCUCAAGAGCAUAGCUCAUACCAAAACAAUUACUCAUAUGGGUGGCCUGAAAACCCGAAUAUGUCAUAUAGGAGCAACAACCCUGAGAUCUCACCAUUUGCUUCUAGUAAUCAUAUGCAGGGAUUUAGGUACAAUGAGGAGAGCCACAACUAUGCUCCACAACAGAUUUAUUCAGCUCCUACUCAUAUACCUCAACACCGGGAGAUAUUGCCAAUGGAGUUAAAUGGUCCUCCACUUGGUCAACCAACAACUCCAGCAACUACUAAGCAAUCUCAUGUGCAAGUGCCCACACAAGAUGAAUUUGAUGAUAUAGACAAGCUCACAUUGCUUAGUCUCAAGUUCACUUGGAGUGCUGAGGAUGAUCCAAUUAGGCCGAUGAUACUAGAUGAAAUGAAGAAUAUCAAGAAUGGAAAAGAGCUAGUGGAUGAAGUAAGGAAGAUUGAGAAGAACAUCAACGCUGGUAGUACUAUCUCAUCUCUCCUUGAGCUGAGUGCUGCUGAGAUUUCUAGUCAUACAUGUGAGGUUCCAACACCUUCACAUUCAGCUGAGCAAGAUAGCGAGAGUCCAGAGGAAGAGAUACUUCAGAUCCAAGAAGAAAUUCUCGAAGCCAAGGCACAAGAUGAUCCAGAGCUCGAACAAUAA
Molecule: ribosomal RNA, 918 nt
Filed under: Triticum aestivum (bread wheat)
Lineage: Eukaryota; Viridiplantae; Streptophyta; Magnoliopsida; Poales; Poaceae
Description: partial small subunit ribosomal RNA
Source: RNAcentral